CGCUCAUAGCUCAGCUGGAUAGAGCACUUGGCUACGAACUAAGGGGUCGGGAGUUCGAAUCUCUCUGAGCG
This 71-nucleotide transfer RNA is filed under the name Acinetobacter baumannii. Its description in RNAcentral is "tRNA-Arg". It matches the Rfam family "tRNA". From Rfam's summary of the family: Transfer RNA (tRNA) molecules are approximately 80 nucleotides in length. Their secondary structure includes four short double-helical elements and three loops (D, anti-codon, and T loops). The record is from RNAcentral. Lineage: Bacteria; Pseudomonadati; Pseudomonadota; Gammaproteobacteria; Moraxellales; Moraxellaceae.